AUGAUUUGCUUUAACUGCAGCUGGCCAGGACAUUAUGUUGGAAAUUGCAUUGAUCAGAAGAAGUGUUUUAUCUGCUCUGGAAACCAUAAUGUGAACAACUAUGUGGCCUAGGCCCGCUUGCAACCUACUACUACAUAUUUUGGUAGUGCUGUAGCAGGCCUGGGUUUCUACCACAUAGAUAUCCUUGUUGCUGCUAAAUCCAAU
Molecule: ribosomal RNA, 204 nt
Filed under: Triticum aestivum (bread wheat)
Lineage: Eukaryota; Viridiplantae; Streptophyta; Magnoliopsida; Poales; Poaceae
Description: partial small subunit ribosomal RNA
Source: RNAcentral